This is a small nucleolar RNA of Nannospalax galili (Upper Galilee mountains blind mole rat), 127 nucleotides long. NCBI's taxonomy places the organism in Eukaryota, Metazoa, Chordata, Mammalia, Rodentia, Spalacidae. The record is from Ensembl.
ACCGUCAUUCUACAUGAGAAUGAGCACUGUGGUGUCAGUGUCUAGAAUUGGUCAACGUGGCUAAAUUGAGAUAUGUUUCCAUCACAAUAAGUGCAUUGCAGUGAUGACAAUGAGACCUGUAACAUUU